This 59-nucleotide microRNA precursor is filed under the name Gekko japonicus. RNAcentral describes it as "Gja-Mir-217-v1_pre stem-loop". Lineage: Eukaryota; Metazoa; Chordata; Lepidosauria; Squamata; Gekkonidae. The record is from RNAcentral.
UACUGCAUCAGGAACUGAUUGGAUAAUAAUCAGGCACCAUCAGUUCCUAAUGCAUUGCC